This 433-nucleotide ribosomal RNA is filed under the name uncultured bacterium. RNAcentral describes it as "partial 16S ribosomal RNA". It matches the Rfam family "Bacterial small subunit ribosomal RNA", at positions 29 to 507 of the family's 1533-position model. The record is from RNAcentral.
AACGAACGCUGGCGGCAUGCCUAACACAUGCAAGUCGAACGAGACCUUCGGGUCUAGUGGCGCACGGGUGCGUAACGCGUGGGAACCUGCCCUUAGGUUCGGAAUAACUCCCCGAAAGGGGUGCUAAUACCGGAUAAUGUCUUCGGACCAAAGAUUUAUCGCCUUUGGAUGGGCCCGCGUUGGAUUAGCUAGUUGGUAGGGUAAAAGCCUACCAAGGCGACGAUCCAUAGCUGGUCUGAGAGGAUGAUCAGCCACACUGGGACUGAGACACGGCCCAGACUCCUACGGGAGGCAGCAGUGGGGAAUAUUGGAAAAUGGGCGAAAGCCUGAUCGAGCAAUGCCGCGUGAGUGAUGAAGGCGUUAGGGUUGUAAAGCUCUUUUACCCGGGAUGAUAAUGACAGUACCGGGAGAAUAAGCUCCGGCUAACUCCGUG